RNAcentral lists this long non-coding RNA (222 nucleotides) under Eucalyptus grandis. RNAcentral describes it as "long non-coding RNA (EGRA_LNC006748)". The record is from RNAcentral. Lineage: Eukaryota; Viridiplantae; Streptophyta; Magnoliopsida; Myrtales; Myrtaceae.
AUGCCAGUGAGAGAGACCCGUGCUGGCCUACAAUUUGUACAAUGUUGUAGGAUACACACAGAGAGCAGGGCAUGGUGCCGACUUCAGUUGUCAUGAUCCGCCAAGCUGGGGAAGGAAAAUUGCUUUAAGUGUUUCUUCGAAGAGGGUGUUGAAUGUGUCUGCCAUAAGCCACGGUUUGAAGUAAGUUCAGAUGUGCCACUUUGCCACAGCCACGGCACAAUU